Molecule: small RNA, 359 nt
Filed under: Histoplasma ohiense
Lineage: Eukaryota; Fungi; Ascomycota; Eurotiomycetes; Onygenales; Ajellomycetaceae
Description: hypothetical lncRNA
Source: RNAcentral
UGUGAAUACGCAGUACGCAGUACAUUGGGAAUAUACCUCACCAGCUGCAAUCCCUCGCAUUUAACUGGGGGACGAGAAAGCGCCCCAAGAAAUGGCAAGGAAAUGGAAGAUACAAAUCUUUUCCCCGAAGGAUUCCCCAGUGUCAACCCGUUUGCCUGUUUCCUAUCAAAAAGCCAGUGAGACAUUUUUGGGGGUUGGGGGACACCGACCGUAUGAAAAACUCAGUAGUUAAUUCCACAGCCCAAUCCUGAUUUUUUUUUACCAGGCGGGUUGCUGCGUGAAUCCCCCAACGUUUAUGGUUUAUGAAUUCAUUACCAUAUCGUAUCCAAUGAGGGAAUAAGUUAUUCCGCCCUACAAGC